RNAcentral lists this ribosomal RNA (232 nucleotides) under uncultured bacterium. RNAcentral's name for it is "partial 16S ribosomal RNA". It matches the Rfam family "Bacterial small subunit ribosomal RNA", at positions 118 to 347 of the family's 1533-position model. The record is from RNAcentral.
UGAGCAAUCUGCCCUUCUCAUCGGAAUAAGCGUUGGAAACGACGUCUAAUGCCGAAUACGACCUCCUUUCGCAUGAUCGGAGGUGGAAAGCUCCGGCGGAGAAGGAUGAGCUCGCGGCCUAUCAGCUAGUUGGUGUGGGUAAUGGCCCACCAAGGCGACGACGGGUAGCCGGCCUGAGAGGGUGACCGGCCACACUGGAACUGAGAUACGGUCCAGACUCCUACGGGAGCAG